This is a non-coding RNA of Acanthosepion pharaonis, 114 nucleotides long. The record is from the annotation of a GenBank genome assembly. Lineage: Eukaryota; Metazoa; Mollusca; Cephalopoda; Sepiida; Sepiidae.
UUACGGUCAUAUCACGUAGAAAAACCGGUUCUCACACGAUCGACGAAGUUAAGCAAUGUUGAGCCUAGUCAGUACUUAGAUAGGUAACCGUUUGGGAAUAUCAUGUGCUGUAAG